This 467-nucleotide ribosomal RNA is filed under the name uncultured bacterium. RNAcentral's name for it is "partial 16S ribosomal RNA". It matches the Rfam family "Bacterial small subunit ribosomal RNA", at positions 28 to 506 of the family's 1533-position model. The record is from RNAcentral.
GACGAACGCUGGCGGCGUGCUUAACACAUGCAAGUCGAACGGAAAGGCCCUGCGUUCGUGGUGUGCUCGAGUGGCGAACGCGUGAGGAACACGAGAGUAACCUACUCUUGACUUUGGGAUAACUUCAGGAAACUGGGGCUAAUACCGGACAGCAGCCCCCCUUCCAUGGUGGGGGUGGGAAAGUGUCGGCGGUUGGGGAUGGACUCGCGGCUUUCCGGUUUGUUGGUGGGGUAGUGGAUUACCAAGGCUUUGACGGGUAGCCAGACUGGGAGGGUGACAGGCUCCAGUGGGACAGGGAUGCGGCCCAGACUCCUUCGGGAGGCAGCGGUGGGAAAUAGUGCACAAUGGACCGAGGGCGGAUGGAAGACCGCCGGGUGCGGGAUGACGUCUUUUGGGUUGUAAACCGCUUUGGCCUGUGACGAAGCGUUGGUGACGGUAAUGAGUAAAAAAGCACCGGCUAACUACGU